Molecule: long non-coding RNA, 393 nt
Organism: Gavialis gangeticus (Gharial)
Lineage: Eukaryota; Metazoa; Chordata; Crocodylia; Gavialidae
Exons: 3
Source: RefSeq, a predicted model, not a curated record
ACAUGGUAGACAACCUGAAGAUUGGAGGUACUCUGGGUGACAGUGAUCAUGAUCUGAUUAGAUCCACUGUCCACUGAAAGGCUGGGAAUUCAGAAUCAGCAGAUCAAAAGCCCCAGACUUCAGGAAGGCAUACUUUGGUAACUCAGGAGUCUAGUUAGAGAGGCCCUCUGCAACCAGCAACUGGACAAUUUGGGAAUUCAGGAACGGUGGUGCUUCUUUAAGAGGCCAAUUCCCACUGCUCAAACAGAGGCCACCCCCACAUGGUCAAAAAGUUGGAAAGGUGCCAAGAGACCCACGUGGCUCAACAGGAAUAUUAGGGCACUUUUGAAAAAGAAAAAAGAAGUAUAGAAGCAAUCAAAAAAUGGUUCAGCAACCAGAGCGGAGAACAUUUUU